UAAGACGUAGGGGGCGAGCGUUGUCCGGAUUUAUUGGGCGUAAAGCGUGCGUAGGCGGCUGCGCAAGUCGGUUGUGAAACCCCGGGGCUCAACCCCGGAACUGCAUCCGAUACUGCGUGGCUAGAGGUAGGUAGGGGAGAUCGGAAUUCCUGGUGUAGCGGUGAAAUGCGCAGAUAUCAGGAGGAACACCGGUGGCGAAGGCGGAUCUCUGGGCCUUACCUGACGCUCAGGCACGAAAGCUAGGGGAGCGAACAGGAUUAGAU
RNAcentral lists this ribosomal RNA (263 nucleotides) under uncultured bacterium. RNAcentral's name for it is "partial 16S ribosomal RNA". It matches the Rfam family "Bacterial small subunit ribosomal RNA", at positions 521 to 783 of the family's 1533-position model. The record is from RNAcentral.